This 5348-nucleotide long non-coding RNA is filed under the name Eucalyptus grandis. Its description in RNAcentral is "long non-coding RNA (EGRA_LNC007490)". Lineage: Eukaryota; Viridiplantae; Streptophyta; Magnoliopsida; Myrtales; Myrtaceae. The record is from RNAcentral.
GAAGCUCAUGUCGAACGAGGGCGAGGCCUGAGUCCCGACGUUCAAGGUCUGGACGUCGAACUCGCCGACCCUGAACUUGGGGGACUUGAACUUCAUGAUGACUAGGACGAAGAAGACGGCCACGACGACCUGAAAGAUGACGAAGGCAGUGAUGCCGAUCGUCCACUUCAUCCUCUUAUUGCGCUUCGCCUCCUCGUGGCUCAGGGACUCAUGGUCGGGCUUCGACAUCGCCGAUCUCUUCUCUCUUUUUUCCGAACAGAAGGUUGUGUUUCUGUGUGAUUUCGACCGGCUUUCUCUAGAACGAAUGUGGAAAUCUGGAGAAGCUGUGAGGGAAUGAAUUGAGGAGGUGGGCGUUUAUAUAGACUUCCGUGCCUGCCGAAGCCUCCUUCCUAGAAGACGUCGUUCGAGUCCCACACGCCAAAAGUCAUCGAUGUCGAAAUUUCUUACUUUCUAGACGAACGCGCUUUUCUCUAAUCUGAAAAGGAAUAUAAUACUACAUAUAUAUAUAUAUAUAUAUAUAUAUAUAUAUAUAGAAGCUUAGAUUAUUGUGGGGUCUUCAGCCAACUCUCGAUCUACAAUCGAGAAGCUCGAGUUUUUUUACUUCGGGGACGCAAGGGUUUGGUCAACUUGGGAAAUGGAACAGUUAACUGUGUCUUUUUAAUGAUUAUUGAGAAGACAAAGUUCGUUAAUCUCGGGUUGACUAAUACGCAGUCGAGGUUCGCCAAUGUUGGCCAUGUCCGCGUGAACGUUGUUACAUAUUAUUUGCAUAAGUUAGGGUGCAGAGAAAACGCAAAAUUUGGAAAAUAUUUUCCAAAAAAUUGCUUAUACCGCUUAGAAAAAUAAAUGAAUUACCGCGAGAAUAGUUAGUCAUAAAUUGUUGUCGAUGAUGAAAACAUUUUUUGUUGACUAACUAUUUUAAGCUAACUAAUAUUUUCGGAAAAUAUUUUCCAAAUUUUGAGUUUUUUCAUGAAACAAAAGUAUCAAAUGAUUCGAAUAGCAUUUUUAUGUUAAAAUAAUUAGUCGAUCAUUAUCAAUUACAAUUUAGGUCUAAACAUUUUCGUGAACAAUAAAAAUAGUUUUACCCUCAUUUUCUAAAACGAUAUAGGUGACAUUUCAUUUUCUAAAACAAUAUAAGUGACAUUUCAAAAAAAAAAUAUUUACAAAUUAUUUAUUUUUGGCGAAAUAAACACAUCCUUAAUGAGCUAUUAUAGUCGUCAAACAAGAAGUUUCGGAUUCUUCUAUUUCGUAGUCACAAGACUAUGUUUUUAUCUGGUGAAUUGGCACAAUGAAGAUCCUGCCUGGUCUCUUAAUGUAAUCAAAGCCUACUGAUGACAUACUAGACAAUGACGUUGGAUUUGCGUAGCCACUUCAUAUAUAUUGCUGAAACAAUUACCUAAUCGGUCAUAAACCUAUUUUAUGAAUCUAAAUUCAGUCCAAUUUUUUUUUUUCGAAAUCAUGAAUAUAGUCUUCAAUCUUUGUGCAAAAUCCCAAUACAGUUCUUUUGGCCAACUUUCAUUAGAAAUUGCUAAAGUGACAUCAUAGUUGUCAUUGACUGUCCUACGUGACACACUGACGUGGACAACUUAUGGAUCACCACAUCAGCAAUAUGCCACAACAGUUUGUUCAAAAGACUAUGUUGAAAAUUUGCAUAAAAUUAUUAUAUUGGCAAAAUUAAAAAUUUUAGGGUUGAAUUGACGUCUGAGUAAUAGGUUUAGAAUUGAAUUGAUGAUUUUCCAUAUAUUGUCAAAUACCCGAAUAACCUUGACCUAAAAAUUGAUGACGUGGCUAGGGAAACGGUCAUGGGCAUGGCACACAGGUAGCAUUGAUGACAAUCGCAUCUGGAUCUAUAUUGAUUGCGACUCAUCCGUGUCUCUUAUUUACUUAAUCACCUACGUGAUUUAACUUGGUAGAUAAACAUUUACUAGCAAAGUUGUGGAUCGUCAUUUUACUAGUAAUGGCAAUGGAAUUGAAAACAUAAAAUGAUCGAGUGUCAAAGAAUAUGUUAAGGUUUUUAAAUAAGCAAGUCAUUUCCCAUUAUGUUUAAGCAUGUCCUUUACAUAAAUCAAGAUAAUAUUUCAUGAGAGCCUAUGUAGCAAUGCAAGUCCCUAAUAUGGAAAAAAGGAUGCGUUGCCUACCGCUAGGGUAGGUCAGAGGGAAAAAUGUUAAAAAAAUCUUAAAUUUUUUGCAUUUAUACCAAUUCAAUCCUAAACCUUUUUUUUGUGCCAAUUUAAUCAUAAACAUUUUCACUUUAUGCCAAUUCAGUCAUUUUGGCUGAAUUUUGCUGACUGAGCACCAGUUGGCUAAUGUGGCACGAUAACGUUGACGUUGACAACUUUUAAUAAUAUUUUAAUAUUUUUUAUUUGUUGAUUUUCUUCUUCUUUUUUUAUCUUUUUCCUUUUCUUUUUUUUUAUCUUUUUUUCUUCUCCUCCUCCUUCCAGCUAGUCGUCAAACCUCGACAACCAGCCAAAGGCGAUAGCCGACGAGGUUGAGGUCGAUCUUGCUGGCCACCGACGAGACUUGCAAUGGCCAUGAGGGCGGCGAGGCUCACCUUCGCGGCCGCCUAGUGCAAGGCCACCCACUUGGCCACUGGCGAGGGCUCGAGUCUCGUCAGUGGCUGGCAAGGCUCACCUAUCAUCGCCUCUGGCUAGUCGCCAAGGUCCGGCGACCAGCUAGAGGAAGGAAGAGGAGAAGGAAAAAAUGAAACAAGAAAAAGGAAAAGGAAAGGAACAAAACAUAUAAAAAUAAAAUAAAAAUAUUAUUAAAAUUUGUCAACGUUAGCGCUGAUUGUGCCACAUCAAUCGGCUGAUGUCUAAUGUCCAGUCAGCAAAAUCUUGCCAAAAUUUGCCGGAAAUGAGUAAAUUUACACCAAGUGAAAAUGUUUAUGACUAAAUUAAUAUAAAUGCAAAAGAUUUAGGACUUUUUUACUAGUAAUGGUAAUGGAAUCGAAAACAUAAAUUGAUCAAAUGCCAAAGAAUAUGUUAAAGGUUUUUAAAAUAAGCAAGUCAUUUUCCAUUAUGUUUAAGUAUACCCUCCACAUAAAGCAAAUAAUAUUUCAUAAGAGCCUAUGUAACAAUGCAAGUACCUACUAUGGAAAAAAGGACGCGUUGCCUACCGCCACUGUAGGUCAAACAUCUAUCAUAUCGUCGUAUUCUAUCACCUACUAUAGGCAAUAUCUCUCAUUUUGAGUACUUGUAUGGCAAUAUUCUUAAUUACAAUCUUCUUCAAUUUUUGAUAGUGCUUGUUUUGUCCAUCCUUGUGCAAAUGACCGCACGAAAUCAAAACAUCGUGCCCAUUCAUGUUGCUUCUUUGGGUAUGACAUUGUGUACAAACGGUACAAAUGUUUGGAUUUUGCCUCUAAUUAUCUUCAUGUGUCUCAUCAUGUUACAUUUUGGGAACACAAUAUUUUCUCAUCUCUUUGUCCUUUCAAAUCCUCUCCUUCUAUUGGCUUCUUUACCAAUCCUUAGAGUUGAGGCUUAUUCAGAUGUUGGUUGGGGUAGUAACCCACUUGAUUGUCGCUUCACUAUAGGCUAUUGCUUCUUUUAAGUUAACUCACUUAUCUCAUGGCAUGGCAUAAAAUAGACUACUACCACUUGAUCUAGCACCGAAAUUGAAUAUCUUACUCUUGCUAAUACAACAUCAUAGAACUAUGUUAGCAAUAAUUAUUAAAAGGCAUAAGAGCCCGUCAUAAUGGUGGAACAGUAAUUUAUAGCGACAACCGAAGUGCUAUUUAAAUAGCUUGUAAUGAUGUCUUCCAUGAGCACAUCAAGCAUAUUGAAAUAAAAUAGUCAUUUUCUACUAUUUCACGUGCUACGUGUUUUUGUACGACUCAUCUCAACUCUGUUGACUAAAUUGCUAUGUCAUCGCAAAAGCACAUUCACUUGAGCAUUUUCAUGAUCUUGUCUCCAAACUCUAGUUGACGUUUUAUACGUCACCUUAAGUAUGAGGGAAUAAUAGAGAUAUUUAAGAUAUUAAUGAGAUUUUAGGUAUCUUCCUUAUAGAUGGUAAUUGAUAUUAUAAUGUUCCGUUACUUUGGAUAGUUAUCAUGUAAAGCCUAUAAAUAGGCCCAUACACUCUCCAUUAAGUAGAUUAAAAUAUACAAAAAAUUAUUCCAAACAUAUUUCUAGAGUAAAAAUUUGUUCUACAAAUAGAAAAAUAAAAUUAAGUUAUCAAAGAGAUUUCUGUUCCAGAAAAAAUUUGGAAUGAAAAAAUUGUUUUGGAACAGACAUAUAAUGGCUAUCAUACACGCCCUCAGUUGCCAUUCAAAGUCCUACCCACAACCUAACCCAAGCUCCCUCACCGAAUGGGUGAGCCAAUCCAUAGAGUCGUCCAUUUUAGAAAGGCAACAAUUGAAGGAGAAAAACUACUAAGACUUUAAGCCCUAGUUGGGUCAAUUAUGCAUUGGGUGUGGGUCAAGCCGAAUAAAAAUGGGUCAAGAGAUCAUUUUUGAACCGACCGACUUGUUUGAUGGCCCCACUAGAGGAUGAGAUAGGGUUUGCUGAUCCACUUCAUAUAGUAAGAUCAAUUUCGAAAAUGACUUCGAUUAAAUGAAGAAUAAUACUCACAGAGUAAACAUCGUAUAAAUUAAUCUAAAAAAAUUGAACAUUUCUACUACUACAAAAUUCAAAUGAAUAAUUCAAUCCGGCAUAUCGAAAAAUUUAAAAAAUCACACACUCGCAUCGCAUCUCUUAUUUACAUGACAGGGACUGGACUGCCUUUGUUGUCGUAUUGACAGCCAUAGUGCAAUUCAUCUGGGACACCUUCGUCUUCUUGAACAUGAACAUAACUGUUACCUUCCCUUUGAGCUCGCCUUGGCUGUUCAACGUUAUGAGUUCCGAGCUCCCUAGAUUCGAACUGCUAGUGGAGCUCAAGCUCACGUUCACAUCGAUCUUCUUGGUGGACUUGAAGUUGGCCUUGCUCUUUGGAAUCGUUGCUUGCCCUACCUGAACGCCUCCGUAAAUGAAGCUAACCGUAGUCGCAUCGUACUUGAAGGGACCCCAGUUGGUAUUCUUGAUCCGGAUGGGAGCAACGAAGCUCAUGUCGAACGAGGGCGAGGCCUGAGUCCCGACGUUCAAGGUCUGGACGUCGAACUCGCCGACCCUGAACUUGGGGGACUUGAACUUCAUGAUGACUAGGACGAAGAAGACGGCCACGACGACCUGAAAGAUGACGAAGGCAGUGAUGCCGAUCGUCCACUUCAUCCUCUUAUUGCGCUUCGCCUCCUCGUGGCUCAGGGACUCAUGGUCGGGCUUCGACAUCGCCGAUCUCUUCUCUCUUUUUCCGAACAGAAGGUGGUGUUUCUGUGUGAUUUCGACCGGCUUUCUCUAGAACGAAUGUGGAAAUCUGGAGAA